Non-coding RNA from Podarcis lilfordi (Lilford's wall lizard), 3621 nucleotides. Lineage: Eukaryota; Metazoa; Chordata; Lepidosauria; Squamata; Lacertidae. The record is from the annotation of a GenBank genome assembly.
CCUGCAACAAGAUUACUAAUCGCAUCUUUAACGUCACAGGUAACUAGGCCUUAAGGUCCAGUCCCAUGUGCCAGAGCCUGGAGAUCUUAGAGAUGCUGCUCAGCUGGGAAGGGGCACCAGGAGAGCAGGGGUGGGGGAGCUCGAGAGCCGCAUUCUCUCCUGGGCAGUCUUCCAGGGGCCACAUGGCAGUGGUGGGUGGGAUCACAGGCAAAACUGGGCAAAACAAUGAAUGUAAAUUUUGCUUUGGUACUGCAGGCUAAUUCUGUCACACACCCCUCUCUGUUCUCCAGCCAGGGAAGGAAGAGGUAUUAAAGACACAUCCCAGCCAGGGGGAAACAGACAUGAAGGCGAGACCGUUCAGGGUGCGGCCUUAGAAGAGAGGGAGCGAGUUCUGUGAGCCAGAGAGAAAGGCAUCUGGUCUGAGGUUCCCUGUUCCUGCAGUGGAAGGUGGGCAGACGAGAAUUGCCCUGUCUAGAAAGGGCACCACCAGCAGCAGUAAAGGUUGGGAGGACAGGAACUGCCCCAGAUAAGAAGCACAGUAGCAUUGGCAGCUGUAGAGGGUGGAAGGAUGUGCCAUCUUCACCCCCCCCAAAAAAAAGAACUUUUGGCACCACAGAUUUGAGCGAUUUAGUUUGCUUGAAACUCAGGGCACAGAAGACUAGCCAAAUGUCACUGUUCUUUUUUAAAACAGUAAUGGCUUGUUAACAGCCUAAAUACAAAGGCAGUCCACCUUUCUUCAGAACGACUCCCAUGCAGAUUGAGCCAAUUAAUUGAUUAAAAUGCAUGUGAUUAAUUGUCUAGAAUGUCCUUAACCAGGCGCCAGCCUUAAUAGUGAGGCAACCUAUGUAGCUGCCCAGCUUGAUUAUCAAAUAUUUGGCUGACUAGAGAGUUGUCUGAAGCCUUGGCUGUGGUUCAUAUAUUACAGCUGGUGCCCAUUGUCUGGUGGGCAGAGUGCAAGGCCACCCUACCAAGCCUGCAGAAGGCACUUAAAGGGACUGUGAGUCCUCCAGUGCCAGCAACACAGAGAGCAGAGCUGGAAUUAUCUGCUUCCUCCCUUAUCUGAACUUAGCAAUGGUCCACCUGACCAUUAGCUUGAGCACACGGACGCUCAAAGUGUGGAGGGAAGCAGGGGAAUCCAUGCAGACCCCCGUGUCCUUGUGGGCACGCCUCACAAGUCCUCUGUGUAGCAUGUUGAAGGUCUGCAUGGGGAUUCCACCUGGCUUAACUGGAAUACAGGUUGGACCCUCUACAAAUAAAAAUAGACAGCUCAUGCAAACCCUUCCCACAGAACAAAUACAGUUGACACCUGAGCUGGGCAGGAGCAAUGCGCAUGAGGCCACUGGGAGCAUGGCUUGCAGAAGGCAUUAUUGGUAGUGGCGCACACCCUGUGGAACACCCACCCAUCAGAUAUCAAGGAGAUGAGCAACUCUAUAACCUUUAGACGACAUCUAAAGGCAACUCUAGAAUCAUAGAAUCAUAGAGUUGGAAGAGACCACAAGGGCCAUCGAGUCCAACCCCCUGCCAAGCAGGAAACACCAUCAGAGCACUUCUGACAUAUGGUUGUCAAGCCUCUGCUUAAAGACCUCCAAAGAAGGAGACUCCACCACACUCCUUGGCAGCAAAUUCCACUGUCAAACAGCUCUUACUGUCAGGAAGUUCUUCCUAAUGUUUAGGUGGAAUCUUCUUUCUUGUAGUUUGGAUCCAUUGCUCCGUGUCCGCUUCUCUGGAGCAGCAGAAAACAACCUUUCUCCCUCCUCUAUGUGACAUCCUUUUAUAUAUUUGAACAUGGCUAUCAUAUCACCCCUUAACCUCCUCUUCUCCAGGCUAAACAUGCCCAGCUCCCUUAGCCGUUCCUCAUAAGGCAUCGUUUCCAGGCCUUUGACCAUUUUGGUUGCCCUCCUCUGGACACGUUCCAGUUUGUCAGUGUCCUUCUUGAACUGUGGUGCCCAGAACUGGACACAGUACUCCAGGUGAGGUCUGACCAGAGCAGAAUACAGUGGCACUAUUACUUCCCUUGAUCUAGAUGCUAUACUCCUGUACAGGGAAGCUUUUGAAUAUUUAAUGUUUUGUUAUGUUUUUACAGUGGACCCUCCAGAUAAGAACUUAAUUUGUUCCGGAGGUCUGUACGUACCAUGAAAAUUCCACAUCUAGAGGUGCCACUUCUGCACAUGCAAGCAACAUGAUAGAGCACUUCUGCACAUGUGUGUAGCAUGCAGAGUGCUUCUGCGAAUGCGUGCAUGAUGAAACCUGGAUGUAUACACUUCCAGGUUUGCCACGGUCGCAGCCUGAAAGUAACGUUACCCGAAGGUAACGUAACCCAUGGGUCCACUGUAUAUAUGUUGGAAGUCUCUCAGAGUGACUGGGGCAACCCAGCCUGAUGGACAGGGUACAAAAUGAUGAUGAUGAUGAUGAUGAUGAUGAUGCACCUCCACCUAUGUCCACUCUUUGAGCACUGGUGUGUUUGAGCAAAUAAUGAAACAUGCAUUAUAUCUGUAUUGUUAUGCGUCCCCCAGUUUCUCAUACAAGUGAGAUGUUCAAGGGGCUAUCCAGUUUGGCUUCCUUUGGAGGAGAGGUCACAUGGCACAUACUCCGCAACUCCCGAUUUUGCUGGGGCGUCCUGAUUUCAAGGCUUUGUUCUGCCUCACAGCACUGCCCUGCCAGUGAGUGAGAGUGGCGGCAGCCAGAGAUUGUGGAAGCCACAUGGGGCCUGCGGCUCACUUGCUGUCUACGUGGUGGACUGGACUCUCCAAUGUAGGUGCUUCAGAUCCGAUCCGCAUGGAUCCUGCCUCUCUGCCUCUUGCAACAUGGCAGCCGACUCCAAGAUUGGCCAUGAAGUCCAAUGAUGUCAUUUGCCAGGGAGCCACUGGGAGCCGGAGGCAGAGAGACGAGAGGUGGGGGCAUGGGCCUUAAAGAGCCACAGUGCAGGUUGGAGCCAGUGGUGGUGGUGGGUGAGUCUUGAGCAGCUAGCAGGAUUGAGGAGAGGUUGGAGGGGGAUGGAGGGAGGGUUGCUGCCCAGCCUAAGGUCCUACCUGGUAAUAUGGUGGGAUUAGCUUCUCUGAGCAUGUACAGAGUGCACACGUGUGUAUUUCCACCACCACACUUUCCCCCCAGCCAGAAACACCUUGUGUUCCUCAGAUGAAAAUUGCUUUAGGCAAAAACUAUAGUGAUCUAGUGUGUGUGAUGUUACAAUAGCCUCCCCCAAAAAAACAACCUCCCCACUAUCUCCAUGCUGGUUUAUUUUUUGUUUGGGAAAGAAACCAUAAAUAUUCUUAUGCAGUCAGAGGAGUGUGAUUAUUCCCUUUUUACUUAUAUUGGCCAAGCUCUUCCUGUGGAAAAAAGGCGGGGGGUGGAAUGCCUGAGGUACACGUAAAUAUGUCUUCUCCAGUACAGUCUCUUGCUCUCCCCACUUCCCCAAGUCUUUGCUAAGGCAUUCUGAGCAGUCCUUUCAUUCAAAUCACAAAUUUAAUGCAAAAGAAAGGUCACUCCUACUUGCAUUCUGGGGCAGUUUUUCCUUCACAUUUCCGCUCACAAUGACCUCACCUUUUGAAUCACUAGAGAUGCGCUUGGAUUGACUUUGAACUUCUCAUUCUUUUCCAUUUUCUUUUUUAGGGAGGACUGACA